This 253-nucleotide ribosomal RNA is filed under the name uncultured bacterium. RNAcentral describes it as "partial 16S ribosomal RNA". It matches the Rfam family "Bacterial small subunit ribosomal RNA", at positions 524 to 776 of the family's 1533-position model. The record is from RNAcentral.
UACGAAGGGUGCAAGCGUUACUCGGAAUUACUGGGCGUAAAGCGUGCGUAGGUGGUUCGUUAAGUCUGAUGUGAAAGCCCUGGGCCCAACCUGGGAACGGCAUUGGAAACUGGCUUACUAGAGUGCGGUAGAGGGGUGUGGAAUUCCCGGUGUAGCAGUGAAAUGCGUAGAUAUCGGGAGGAACAUCUGUGGCGAAGGCGACACCCUGGACCAGCACUGACACUGAGGCACGAAAGCGUGGGGAGCAAACAGG